RNAcentral lists this transfer RNA (69 nucleotides) under Ochotona thibetana (Moupin pika). RNAcentral's name for it is "tRNA-Ile". It matches the Rfam family "tRNA". From Rfam's summary of the family: Transfer RNA (tRNA) molecules are approximately 80 nucleotides in length. Their secondary structure includes four short double-helical elements and three loops (D, anti-codon, and T loops). The record is from RNAcentral. Lineage: Eukaryota; Metazoa; Chordata; Mammalia; Lagomorpha; Ochotonidae.
AGAAACAUGUCUGAUAAAAGAGUUACUUUGAUAGAGUAAACUAUAGGGGUUCAAAUCCCCUUGUUUCUA